Molecule: long non-coding RNA, 1248 nt
Organism: Cyprinus carpio carpio
Lineage: Eukaryota; Metazoa; Chordata; Actinopteri; Cypriniformes; Cyprinidae
Source: Ensembl
CAAGUUUAGGUCUUGAUUUAUCAAUAAUCAAAAACAAAUUACAAUUAUUUUUCGAGAAUACAAACGUCUCUUAACACGGUUAGUUGCACUAGCUGUUCUGAAGUUCAAGUCAAAAGUUGUAUUUGUUAACAUUAGUUAAUGCACUGUGAAGUGAACUAACAAGAACAAACGAACAGCUGUAUUUUUAUUAACUAACAAAGUUUAAUAAAUACUGUAUCAAAUGUAUUGGUCAUAGUUAAUGUUAGUUAAUACAUCAGUGUUAACAGAUGAAACCUUAUUGUAAAGUGUUACCCUCGAAAACUAUGUUUUGCUUGAUAGAGAAAAAUAUAUAGUUGACAAAACCACUAAAUUAUAAAAUUUAAAAAUUAGUCAGAGCUUAGUAACCUUAUGUUAAGUUACACAAGCAAACAGACACAGCUAUAUGCACUAAAACAUUUAUUUAGCUUUCAGUUUCAGUCACCAAUUCAAAUAGAUAGAUAGAUAGAUAGAUAGAUAAAUAGAUAAACCACUCAUUCAUUUAUUCUGUAGUAGCAGUGCAUAGAACAAAAUUCAGCAAACUCUUUGUCUGAAUAGAAAGUUGUGAAGACCCCCUUCUUUCCAUGGCUACAAUAUCCAGAGGUGUUUUUGUAGAUGCAUCCACAGCCAUCACACCUGCUGAGCUCAAACUCACUCUGUAGGUCUUCCUUAUAUCUGGACUGACAGACUUCCAGUCAAUGAUACCUACACAAGAAAAAAACAAAUGUUGAGAGAUUCAAACCAAAAGUAACCAAUAAGUAUUUCUAAAUAUAAAAUAAAAAAGACUGCAAGUGUUGUCACUAGCAGAAGCGCAAGUGUGUGAGAGUGCAAGUGCAAGUCUGCAGCCAGACCUUUCUCCGUUAUAUUAUAAGACAACUGUACUGCUGACUCUUCACUGAGACAGUCAUUUUUGUUACUAAAAGUACAUAUGAUUCCUGUGCAUGAUUUCUAAAAGAAUGGAAUCACAAAAAAAGGUGACUGGCACUCAUCUAUACCAUAGGUUAUACAAAUUUUUGGUUUAACAUGUUGGAGUAACUUCAAAAGAGUAAAUGUCCUUCGAGUGCACUUUGGGCAAUGGUACAGUUGAGGCAUGAGGAUCUAAUACAAAAGGCUAAUUAUUCAGUAAAGUUACUGGCAGUGCUUGUCUUCCUCUUCCACAAUGUUGACAAUGUGAUUCUGAAGGAAAGUCGGUGUCUUUCUCAGGUAUGUUGGAUAUGCAAUGUUGAAAGGAAA